UGAGUUUGAUGAAAUAAAAUUUUGUUGUUGAAUGUGACUAUGCUUCUUUGCUUCGCACGAUGAGAGAGAAAGGGGGAACGAUCGAGCUUCCAAAAUCGACGACUCUCGAGCCAAUCAAUAGUUCGGGUCCGGCGCCGACAAUACUUCCAAUACUGAGAGAGAAUGGGUACUUACCUUCUUCAAAAUUGAGUACUUGAUCAUAAAGCGUGAGGCUUUGGUUAUGAUGUUUUUGAUGUUGGGUUGUCAUUGAGCGGUAGGCAGGCAAAGAAGCUCAAAGUUGUGGUACUCGAGCAGCUCAACCGACAGUGACACUAAUGACACAAAGAAAGUUGGUGCUGAAGAAGAUUUUGACGAUUUUCUUAGGUGGCUUGAAAGAUACGAAAUGGAAGCCCGAGUAGUGGAUCCAAAGAGGGGUUGGGGAUUUCAUGGUGUGCACAAGAGAUACUUAGGAUGACGGUACAAACUUUGAGCUGACAAAGUUUGAUAAUGAAAAUAUAAUCUUUGAGCUGUUAUGGGAGUGUAGGCUACGUGUUUGUGAUAUAUGUACAGAGUUUGCUAUUCUGUAUCCUUUUGAUCAUCAAGGAAUUGUGAUAUCUGUAUUUGUCCGCACUCUCUGCAGUACAUCAAUCCUAUUCUCAAGAAUUCACAACAUCGUUUGAAUGGGAACUUUUAUAUGCAAUAGAGAGGGUUUUGACUCUUCAAUGUUUAUAUGUGUGACUAUGAAUGUUCUAUUGCUUUUUCCACCUGUGGUAUGUAUACAGUGCAGUCAUUCCCUCUCCCAUGUUGGUUCAUAUUUCAAAAAACCUUCUACUUACAUACGUUAUUGCUAAUAUAAGUUACAUAUUCUUGCUGAGCUGCUGUGUUUUGGGGAUUGAGAGUUCUAUAAAGAUUGCUAGCAUGCAAAAUCAGUUGAGGAGGUAGGUUCUAUGUCCUGUGAAAUGCAUUAGUAGUUCGUUCUCUUACAGAUCUUUGCUGACAUGAAAUUUCCGACCAUUGACUUUUGUUGUACGGCUCUUCUGGCUUUUUGGCUGCAUCAGUAUUGCUUAGGCCUCAUUGAUUAGAUUACUCAAUAUCUCUGUUUUUCUUAUUCAAAUCUUCAAAUUUAGAUACCACUAUAUUUUUUCAACACUUUCUUGGUCCAAAUUUUCUGUUUCUAAUAAUAUCAAGAAGAAAACAAAGACCUUAGAUACAGAUAAAAUAUCAAGAAGAAAACAAAAAUCUUAGAUACAGAUAAAUCAAUACAAACUGUAUAUAAACAGUGGUCAAUUUCUAAUGCCUUCUCCAAUAACAUUGAUUAAGGAGAUUAAUGCUCUAAAGUAUAAAAACAUAUUUUUUUUAAGCAUUACCUCCUCUUAUUCUAAAUUAAAGUUCUCAUUAGAGAAAUGACCAAAAUAUUACUUCUGUUGUUGUGUCUGUUUGAUAU
Molecule: RNA transcript, 1423 nt
Organism: Rosa chinensis
Lineage: Eukaryota; Viridiplantae; Streptophyta; Magnoliopsida; Rosales; Rosaceae
Exons: 4
Source: RefSeq, a predicted model, not a curated record